CUCAGAACGAACGCUGGCGGCAUGCCUAACACAUGCAAGUCGAACGAAGUCUUCGGACUUAGUGGCGCACGGGUGCGUAACGCGUGGGAAUCUACCCUUGGGUACGGAAUAACUCAGAGAAAUUUGUGCUAAUACCGUAUAAUGACUUCGGUCCAAAGAUUUAUCGCCCAAGGAUGAGCCCGCGUAAGAUUAGCUAGUUGGUGGGGUAAAAGCCUACCAAGGCGACGAUCUUUAGCUGGUCUGAGAGGAUGAUCAGCCACACUGGGACUGAGACACGGCCCAGACUCCUACGGGAGGCAGCAGUGGGGAAUAUUGGACAAUGGGCGAAAGCCUGAUCCAGCAAUGCCGCGUGAGUGAUGAAGGCCCUAGGGUUGUAAAGCUCUUUUACCCGGGAUGAUAAUGACAGUACCGGGAGAAUAAGCUCCGGCUAACUCCGUGCCAGCAGCCGCGGUAAU
This 455-nucleotide ribosomal RNA is filed under the name Sphingomonas sp. TFA. RNAcentral describes it as "bacterial SSU rRNA". It matches the Rfam family "Bacterial small subunit ribosomal RNA", at positions 23 to 524 of the family's 1533-position model. The record is from RNAcentral. Lineage: Bacteria; Pseudomonadati; Pseudomonadota; Alphaproteobacteria; Sphingomonadales; Sphingomonadaceae.